This 29-nucleotide non-coding RNA is filed under the name Mus musculus (house mouse). Lineage: Eukaryota; Metazoa; Chordata; Mammalia; Rodentia; Muridae. The record is from RNAcentral.
UGUUAUAACUCCAAUGCCCAGUAAGCAUA